Molecule: ribosomal RNA, 599 nt
Filed under: uncultured bacterium
Lineage: Bacteria
Description: bacterial SSU rRNA
Rfam family: Bacterial small subunit ribosomal RNA
Source: RNAcentral
UAGUUGGUGGGGUAAAGGCCUACCAAGGCGACGAUCUGUAGCGGGUCUGAGAGGAUGAUCCGCCACACUGGGACUGAGACACGGCCCAGACUCCUACGGGAGGCAGCAGUGGGGAAUAUUGGACAAUGGGGGGAACCCUGAUCCAGCCAUGCCGUGUGUGUGAAGAAGGCCUUUUGGUUGUAAAGCACUUUAAGCGAGGAGGAGGCUACUGGUACUAAUACUACCAGCUAGUGGACGUUACUCGCAGAAUAAGCACCGGCUAACUCUGUGCCAGCAGCCGCGGUAAUACAGAGGGUGCGAGCGUUAAUCGGAUUUACUGGGCGUAAAGCGUGCGUAGGUGGCUUUUUAAGUCAAAUGUGAAAUCCCCGAGCUUAACUUGGGAAUUGCAUUCGAUACUGGAAGGCUAGAGUAUGGGAGAGGAUGGUAGAAUUCCAGGUGUAGCGGUGAAAUGCGUAGAGAUCUGGAGGAAUACCGAUGGCGAAGGCAGCCAUCUGGCCUAAUACUGACACUGAGGUACGAAAGCAUGGGGAGCAAACAGGAUUAGAUACCCUGGUAGUCCAUGCCGUAAACGAUGUCUACUAGCCGUUGGGGUCUUUGAG